Molecule: ribosomal RNA, 664 nt
Filed under: Mucor ucrainicus
Lineage: Eukaryota; Fungi; Mucoromycota; Mucoromycetes; Mucorales; Mucoraceae
Description: partial large subunit ribosomal RNA
Rfam family: Eukaryotic large subunit ribosomal RNA
Source: RNAcentral
ACGGCGAGUGAAGAGGAAAGAGCUCAAAGUUGGAACCUGUUUGGCUUAGCCAAACCGGAUUGUAAACUGUAGAAACGUUUUCCUGACACGCCAGAUUAAAAAGUCCUUUGGAACAGGGCAUCAUAGAGGGUGAGAAUCCCGUCUUUGGUCUGAGCUGUUGUCUUUUGCGAUACGUUUUCAAAGAGUCAGGUUGUUUGGGAAUGCAGCCUAAAUUGGGUGGUAAAUCUCACCUAAAGCUAAAUAUUUGCGAGAGACCGAUAGCGAACAAGUACCGUGAGGGAAAGAUGAAAAGAACUUUGAAAAGAGAGUUAAACAGUAUGUGAAAUUGUUAAAAGGGAACCGUUUGGAGCCAGACUGGCUUGAUCGUAAUCAAUCUAGGUUUCGACCUGGAUGCACUUGCGGUCUAUGCCUGCCAACGACAGUUCUUUUUGAAGGAUAAAACUAGGAGGAAUGUGACCCCGCUUCGGGGGGGUGUUAUAGCCUCUUAGAUAAUACUUUGAAUGGGACUGAGGAACGCAGUGAAUGCUUUCGGGCGAGAUUGCUGGGCGCUUUGGUUGAUAGAUGUCAAAAUUUCUGCUUCGGGUGGUGUUGAUGUCUUUGAAGCUAAACACGCUUGGUUAAUUUUCUAUUCACUUGGGUCGUUGGCUUAAUGACUCUAAAUGAC